RNAcentral lists this ribosomal RNA (250 nucleotides) under uncultured bacterium. Its description in RNAcentral is "partial 16S ribosomal RNA". It matches the Rfam family "Bacterial small subunit ribosomal RNA", at positions 524 to 773 of the family's 1533-position model. The record is from RNAcentral.
UACGUAGGUGGCAAGCGUUGUCCGGAAUGACUGGGCGUAAAGGGUGCGUAGGCGGCUUAUUAAGUUAGAAGUGUAAUACCUGGGCUUAACCUAGGUGCUACUUCUAAGACUGGUGAGCUUGAGUGUGGGAGAGGUAAGUGGAAUUCCUAGUGUAGCGGUGGAAUGCGUAGAUAUUAGGAGGAACACCAGUGGCGAAGGCGACUUACUGGACCAUAACUGACGCUGAGGCACGAAAGCGUGGGUAGCAAAC